AAAACCCAUAUACGGGGUGGUCAUACACUUUUUAUCAAAACAAAGAAAUACAGCCUCUCCUUCUUACGACACGGGUUCAAGUAAGUAGGUCAACCAAUAGCAAGCGAAAUGGGGAAGGACCUUCCGCGUUACAACCCGAGCGUUCCGUUAUACACCGAAUACAACAUCAGUAAAGAUCACCGAGUCUAACACCUGACUCCAGACAGUACCAAUCAAAAUUCAAACCACAUUCUGGAGACUGUUGUCCAAAUGUUUAUUGAAUUCUGGCAGAAAUCUUUUCCUAAAAUCCAACUGUUCCCUUGGGUCUUAUGGGGGUCAUCCCUGCGGGGAAGCAACAGCCAUGUAGAUGUCUAUCCCCCCAUCACUUGACCACUAUGUACCUCAGUGAAUGUGUUUGGCAUCUAACAUCGGGUAAAUAGGAAAGGGAGGUAUUUCUGUUUCCUGUGCACUGACUAUUUGCAAACAGUGUGCCAAGUAAUUGCGCAGACUGUUGAGGAACUAGGGAAAACUAAGCCAGUUGUGUUGAUCUUUCUGUUGGUGGGAUGCUGUGCUUAUGUUACCAUGGUACUGGGAGGUCCCAACACAUUUCCUUUUCCUGGGCACUUCCAGUGUUUUGCUUUCAUGUCUCAUAUAGAUGCAGCAGAUAAUACUGACUCUCAUCUGCCCACUGGACAAAUGGGGGCAGGUUUUCUCUCUCAGCUGCUUCAGUGCCUUUUCUCCCUUUGGCUCUUGCAGUUUCUGAGAAGGUCACUGUGCAGACCACAUCUUUAGAGGACUGCUUGUCAGUUUUUUGGGUUAGAUUAAUUGCACAUAGAAUGGUUUGUGUUGUAUGGUUCUAAAAUCAUCUAAUCCCCCUCUGGCACUGACAGGGACACCUUUCACUUGAUGAGGUUGCUCCAAAGCCCCACUCAACCUGACUUUGAAUGCUUCUAGUGAUGGGGUGUCUACAGCUUCUUUGGGCAGCCUGUGCUGCUACCUCACCACCUUCAUAAUGGAUUUCUUCCUUACAUCUAAUCUAAAUAUACCCUCUUUCAGUUUAAAUCAUUCCCCUUUAUCUGAUCACUGCAGACCCUGAGGAGAAGUCCUUUUCCAUCUUUCUUAUAAGCCUUCUUUAUUUAUCAAAAGGCUGUAAAAAAGAAUUCCCACAGCCUUUUCCAAGCUAAAUUCUCACAGCCUUUCUUCAUAGGAGAGGUGUUGCAUUGAGCCAUGCUCAGUAAAGUUUGAAUACUCUAGGGAAGACUGAAGCCCCUAGCCUCUCCGGGCACCACUUCCAUGCCUGAGCACCCUCAUAGUGACAGACUUUGCCUGUUUCCUAGCUGUGAAUUCUCCAUGCUGCAGUGUGGGCCUGGUACCUCAAGUGGACUCAUAUUGCCCCAGUGCAGCAGCUCAAAGGAUGCCAGUCCCAGCCCUUCCUUCUUCCUCUUGGUGAAGAAGAGAUAACAGGUCUUGGUGAGGGAGGGAGGUGGGGACAAGAAGGAUGGGUUUACAGGAGCCUUGGCUGUCGAUAGUAUUCCCAGGAAAUCAGUCUCACAUUUGAGCCUCCACGGUGAUCCUGGAGUUCAGGCUCCCUGUGUAGGGAGAUUCAGCUCUGGCACUGAGGCAGCCAUGUGGAGGGAGGUGGAUAGAAACCCAUGCCCCUGUGAUGGUUGGGCUGGAGUGUGGGUCUGGAUCUCCUCCCACGCUGCCUGAGAGUGAUAGGCUGAUGAUGUUUCUGCCCUGAUGGAGGUGGAUCCAAUUCCAUCAGCUCUUCUGCUGGCUCUGGAUCCACCUCCAUAGGCCUCUCAUUACUCUCAGGUGGGUCUACUUCCAUUGUCUUGAUAGUAUGGAGCCUCUCCAUUAGCCACCUCUUCUUGGCAGGAGGGCAGUCCAUCCUACCUCCUUGCCAAAAAAGCACUUGGCAAUUGAGCUCUAAGUCGCCACUGGCAAUUCUUGCUCAGUGACUGAAGUUCUGGACACAGGAUCCCCCUAUUUAUAGGGCUCAGAACCAAAGGCUGUGAGAUAACUUAUGACACCGGGAGGCCAUGGUGAUGUCAUUAGAACAAUGUCUCAUGGUGACUAAAACAUGGCACUGUUGGGAGAUGUCGCCUACAGCCUGAGAGUUGCCCCAGUUUUGAAGGAGGAGGAAGAAUGGGGGUGCUGAGGGCCCCUUUCCUGGAGAUGGCUCCCCUGUGCUGUUUUGCUUGCUAAAGAGAAUGUCUUCUCCUUGGGCAUGGGCACCCCCAUGGGCUCCAGCUCCCUCUUCCUCCCAUGUGUGAUGUGCCUUCAAUGAGAGGGUGGGAGAUGAAGAGGGACUCUACAAAUGAGUAAGAGUGAUUAAAUCUUGGAAACCAAGAGCUGAAUACAGAUCAAAGGAGAAAAAUCAGGGAAAGAGAAGUAGGAGAAAAAAGACAUCAACUGUACUCAGGUAUACGACAAAUCAUUGUAGAGAUUGUAUAUAUACUCCUAGUGGAUACAAGAAGAAAUACAGACUUGCUGCAAGAAAACUGAAGACUUGGAGGACUCGAUCAGGAUGUGCCAGAAUUUGCAGCAAUGGUAAAGAAAGUGUUAGUCCAUUCCUCCUUGAGCAUGACACUGAAGACCUUUCAGAUCUACCCUGUGAGUUCUCUAGCACUCCAAGAAGUGAUGUGGAAUCUGCUUUCCCAUAUAAUCUCCGAUCUUAAAUAUGACAUGUAGUCUCUCCCACCCUCCUUCUUCUUCUUAAGCACAGGAUCCAGCAUCUCCUCCUGGUCUCAUGGCAUCCUUGGAUCUUCCCAUUAUGCACCAUGACACUGGCAACUGCUCAGAAAAUUCUGCUGAAGCUACAGAAUUUGGUCUGACUUAUAGUGCUCCAUCUGGCCUCCUCAAAAUUCAAAAAGGAAGAUUAUUUGUAAGGAAUUGAUGUGGUUUUUUAAUCUUUCUUUCCCCUCCCCUCCCCUGCAAUGAGUCCAGGGGGAAAGUGGAAGCCCAGGAAAGAGCUGUGUCUUCUAACUGGGAGGAUAUCCUUAAGGUAAAGGAUCUCCGUUCACGGUUUCACUGAAGUCAGCAUUUACAUAACUUAGUUCUGUUUUCUGUGAUUACAGUACAGCCAUUCCUUUCUAAUUUCCGAAGCCCUCUACCCACUUGACUCAGGAAUAUAUCUACUGUAACUCUUCAAUUUUGUUUUAAGAUUAAACAGGAAAGCUGAACUUUUAAAAUUCACACAGCGCAAUGAAUGAGAAAAGUUGCUUGUCAUUCUUUUUAACGAAGAUUGAGAUGGCUAUAACAUAUAAUCACUAAAUUUAAUGAAGUAAUUACUUUUCAAUUUGAUUUCUAAUUUUCUACCGAAAAAAAUCCCAUUGUUACUAAUGGGAUGGGAAUAAUUAACAGUACCUACCAAUUAAAACUACUCUUCCCAUGCUAUACUGCAUAUUAUGAGAUGUUUUAUAAAUUUGCUGCUUUUUUUCAUAAGGAAAUUGAUUAUGUGUUCAAUAAAAUUGAACCUAUUCAUUCCUUUCUUUUGAUGUUAUCAGCUAGCAGUAUCAGUUUAUACUAUCUUUCCCCUGAUCCAGCACCUCAACUCACAGAAAAAAGCUUCCCCCUGACAUCUAAUCUAAAUCACAGAAUUGUAGGGGCUGGAAGGGACCACUAGAGAUCAUCGAGU
Molecule: long non-coding RNA, 3619 nt
Organism: Numida meleagris (helmeted guineafowl)
Lineage: Eukaryota; Metazoa; Chordata; Aves; Galliformes; Numididae
Exons: 3
Source: RefSeq, a predicted model, not a curated record